This 351-nucleotide unclassified non-coding RNA is filed under the name soil metagenome. RNAcentral's name for it is "partial contains 5.8S ribosomal RNA, internal transcribed spacer 2, and large subunit ribosomal RNA". The stretch from base 1 to 120 matches the Rfam family "5.8S ribosomal RNA", at positions 35 to 154 of the family's 154-position model. The record is from RNAcentral.
GAUGAAGAACGCAGCGAAAUGCGAUAAGUAAUGUGAAUUGCAGAAUUCAGUGAAUCAUCGAAUCUUUGAACGCACAUUGCGCCCGCCAGUAUUCUGGCGGGCAUGCCUGUUCGAGCGUCAUUACAACCCUCAGGCCCCCGGGCCUGGCGUUGGGGAUCGGCGGAGCCCCCCGUGGGCACACGCCGUCCCCCAAAUGCAGUGGCGGUCCCGCCGCAGCUUCCAUCGCGUAGUAGCUAACACCUCGCGACUGGAGAGCGGCGCGGCCACGCCGUAAAACACCCAACUCUUCUGAAGUUGACCUCGAAUCAGGUAGGAAUACCCGCUGAACUUAAGCAUAUAAUAAGCGGAGGA